Molecule: long non-coding RNA, 386 nt
Organism: Cucurbita maxima (winter squash)
Lineage: Eukaryota; Viridiplantae; Streptophyta; Magnoliopsida; Cucurbitales; Cucurbitaceae
Exons: 2
Source: RefSeq, a predicted model, not a curated record
ACAAGCAUAAGCAUAUCUAUAUUUCUUGCCUAAGUAAGCAGGGUUGAAGCUGCACAUGUCCAUUCCUCUGCCAUGUUCAUCUGGGUCCAAUGCUGCCUCCAGCUUCCCAUGUCCACUCCCAUCCAAUGUGUUAUAUGAUGGCAUGCUUUGAGGAGUCUAAAUCCAAACAAGUCAAAGCAAAAGCAAAAGACAAAGCCAAAGACAAAGCCAAAACCAGAUAAUGGUGAAUUGUAAGUAGUUUUCUCAAAAGAAUUCAACCAUUCCGGCUGUGAGUAUGUUUAUUUUGUUCUUUCUUAAAUUCAACAAUUCCGGCUUUGCAAUUCAUUGUAUCCCAUUAACUUUCCUCGUUAUAUCUAUAUAUAUAUAUAUAUAUCUUUUUGCUUUGG